This 425-nucleotide ribosomal RNA is filed under the name uncultured bacterium. RNAcentral's name for it is "partial 16S ribosomal RNA". It matches the Rfam family "Bacterial small subunit ribosomal RNA", at positions 354 to 796 of the family's 1533-position model. The record is from RNAcentral.
GUUAGGAAUAUUGGACAAUGGGCGCAAGCCUGAUCCAGCCAUGCCGCGUGAGUGAUGAAGGCCUUCGGGUCGUAAAGCUCUUUAGUCCACGAAUAUAAUGACUGUAGUGGAAGAAUAAGCCCCGGCUAACUUCGUGCCAGCAGCCGCGGUAAUACGAAGGGGGCGAGCGUUAUUCGGAAUCACUGGGCGUAAAGCGUGCGUAGGCUGUUUUGUAAGUCAGAAGUGAAAGCCCAGGGCUUAACCCUGGAAUUGCUUUUGAAACUACAAGACUCGGAUUCGGGAGAGGAUAGCGGAAUUGUCAGUGUAGCAGUGAAAGGCGUAGAUAUUGACAGGAACACCAGUGGCGCAAGCGGCUAUCUGGACCGAUAUUGACGCUGAGGCACGAAAGCGUGGGGAGCAAACAGGAUUAGAUACCCUGGUAGUCC